GGGGCUCACUAAUAUCUGUGUAGAGUAGGCAGGAUUAUGAUGUUUUGAAUGCUUUCUAGUGCUCCUCGUUUCAAGGAUCACUUGUGAUUUCUUGUGACUGAUAGUGUUACAGAUGUUGCGCUGGAGCUGUGAUGGCAGCUGGAGUGCACAGUGUGAGAACUGAAAUUCUGUUUCAAGCUCCUGCAGUAACCCAGGAAAGUAAUAUUCAUUUGCCUCCCAUUCCAUUCAAAUACACAUGUGUGGACGCUGUGGCCAGAUGGCAGCCUGUACAACAUUUAUUACUGCAGCUCUCUGAGAUACCUUACAGGAGAUUUUCUUUAGGAUCCACAUCGAAUGGGGUUGCUAUACUAAACUUGUUCAGCUGGCCUGAUUCACUCUGCUCAAAUAUGUAUAAGGGGGAUGGUUCCUGUGGAUUAUUGAGCAAUUCAGUUGCUUGGGAAGCCUAACAAAGCGCUGGAGCCCCUCAGCCCUGAGGUACCUGUGCAAAGGGUCCCUCAUCUGCUCAGCCACUCCCUGCUGUGAGGUGCCACCUUCAGGGAUGGGACAAGAGCAGCUGUUCAAACACUAUGUAGCAACCCUAAACCAUGCAAGGAAGUGGAAAGAUUUAUCAUUUCUCUUCAUCUCUAAGGAAUUCCUGGAAGAUGGUGGAAAUUACUUUUCAUCCCCAAGUAUACUAUGUCUCUUCUGACAAAAGUAUGCCAAGGUUUCUUUAGUGUCCCAGCACAUUUGACUUCUUUGUUUUGUGCCCACCA
Long non-coding RNA from Zonotrichia leucophrys gambelii, 752 nucleotides. RefSeq lists it as uncharacterized. NCBI's taxonomy places the organism in Eukaryota, Metazoa, Chordata, Aves, Passeriformes, Passerellidae. The transcript is spliced from 3 exons. The record is from RefSeq and is a predicted model, not a curated record.